AUGGUUAAGCUACUAAGAGCACACGGAGGAUGCCUAGGCGCUAGGAGUCGAUGAAGGACGUGGCGAACAACGAAACUGCCUCGGGGAGCUGUAAGCAAGCUUUGAUCCGGGGGUGUCCGAAUGGGGAAACCCGGCUGUGGUAAUACGCAGUCACUCACAUCUGAAUACAUAGGGUGUGUAGAGACAGACCAGGGGA
Molecule: ribosomal RNA, 196 nt
Filed under: Paenibacillus glacialis
Lineage: Bacteria; Bacillati; Bacillota; Bacilli; Caryophanales; Paenibacillaceae
Description: partial 23S ribosomal RNA
Rfam family: Bacterial large subunit ribosomal RNA
Source: RNAcentral